UACGGAGGAUGCGAGCGUUAUCCGGAUUUAUUGGGUUUAAAGGGUGCGUAGGCGGAAUAUCAAGUCAGCGGUAAAAAUUCGGGGCUCAACCCCGUCGUGCCGUUGAAACUGAUGUUCUUGAGUGGGCGAGAAGUAUGCGGAAUGCGUGGUGUAGCGGUGAAAUGCAUAGAUAUCACGCAGAACUCCGAUUGCGAAGGCAGCUUACUAAGCCAUAACUGACACUGAAGCACGAAAGCGUGGGGAUCAAACAGG
Molecule: ribosomal RNA, 252 nt
Filed under: uncultured Bacteroidales bacterium
Lineage: Bacteria; Pseudomonadati; Bacteroidota; Bacteroidia; Bacteroidales
Description: partial 16S ribosomal RNA
Rfam family: Bacterial small subunit ribosomal RNA
Source: RNAcentral